AGGAAAGCAAGUUUAGCACAUGUAACAUGACAGAAGCCCAACUCCCAAGUGUGUGUAUUAAGGAUGGAAAUGCAGAGACUAUAUCAGGUUGGAAAUGUAUCAAGGAGUUAAUAAAAAAAGCUCAAUGAUCAAACCUUUGAUAUAGCUCUUUUUUUAUUAACAUCUGAUAUUGCUCAAUAUAUCUCUGGAAAUAUAUAUGAUAUUACUCAAAGAGUACCUGAUGGUAGAUACUCACAACAGUAAAAAAAUGGCCCUAUCUACAUGCCAUUGGCGCAUUUGUUAUACAAUGUGACAUGAAACACCUGAGCAAGGUCUGGUAUGAUAGAAACCAAAAAGCAGGCCAUAGUAUUAGUCCCAGAUAACUUAUUUACAAUGUUUUUCAUAUUGCACAACAAACUACUCUCUCCGUAAAGAAAUAUAAGAACGUUUAGAUCACCAAAGUAGUACAUGGUUGGCUAUUGGAUAUAUAACUUUAUCCACACGCCUUCAUCCAAUUUGCUUGAUAUAUAACUUUCUCCACACUCCUUCUUUUGAUUUGCAUGCAUGUUGUGAUGCACGGAUCUGCUAAAGGACAUGUCGUGUUAGGCAAACUAUUCAAAUAGCGCGUCUCAUGGACAGGGAGAAAAUAAUUUGGUCUAUAUGAAGGAGAAUCACUCUGGAUAAUACACAGUGAUUUGGAUACAGUAUAGCCUUUUAACAUAAAAGAAUAUAUAAGAUAAAAUUAGAAUUAUUUUAUCUUAGCAUUUUGCAUGGCCUACAAUGGGCGACAGAUAAGAAUCACAAACCUAUGGUGACACAAGAAGCCUCUGAAGCAAAGAAGGCGGCUCAACGGUGACUUGGAAAGUGAGAGAGGCGGAGCGCUGGCCUACAUCUCCCCAGGCUCUGCCUGGUGCCCAUCAAUAAGGUAAGAGUCCAUGAAACCACACAUAAUUAUUUUCGCAUGCGAAGUGACAACACAAAUAACCAUGGGAUCUUAUUUUCUACAAAAGGAUCAACAAUUAGAAUGCCAGAUUUGGCAACAACAUAAUACAUACUUCCAUAUCGGAGACAUAAAUUUCUUAAUUCUUAAACAAUGCGGUUCUAAAAUGUUUUAUCUAUCAACAACAUAGUAUUAGUGGUUGUGCUUUCAGCAAUAUAAACAAUUAGAGACAUGCAACAAUGGUACAUACACAUGAUACAGUAAAAGAGCCUAGAAAAGAAAUCAAUUCGAGUCACAGAACGAAGGUAGAGAAACCUCACCGACUGAGGUAGGUAUACAUAUGCUCAACUCAACCGGACAGAGACGCAACAUAAGUUAUUUUUUGUGAAAAACACAACAGAAGCUGAAUAAAGUAACAGAAGGAACCAGUAGAUAACUUUAUUGGUACCCAGCAUAUAUGGUUCAAUUUUCUUUCAACUAAAAUAUAUAUGCAAAGGUGAGUCUAGUUACCUUGCACUAAUUUGACAGAAAUGAGUUUUGCUUCCCACGAAAACACAUACAUGAACAUAAUUAGUGCAAGUCCAGUGCAUGAUUAAUUUUAUUUCAAGUACACCAUAGAAAUAAAGUACUAUCUCAAGGUUCUUGGUUUGUAUGAUUGUCAUCAUGUGUUCAAUUAACAUAUCUUGGGUCUAAUAGUAACCAUGUCUCUACUAAAUCUAGCCACAAUGCCCUGGACAUAUAUAAAGAUGCACACAAGACAAAAGAUAGUACUCGGCGUACAUAAGGACCUUGAUCGCCGUUGUGCCUUCCUGUUGCCUUUGACUUGAUCAAAGGCCAGCAAAGAAGCAACAAAGACAAUGGCAGUGGCGGAGGCGGUGGUAUCCAGUCAUCGGCAGACGGGGAGGCCUCCACCGGCGCCGUGGCCGGUGGUGUUUCCCUUUUGGGCUAUCUCGAUGCCACGGUCCUCACUGGUCACUAUAGAGUAGUGGCAUGAGCGGCGGCCUACACAACCCUUCCAGCAAUGGCGGCGGGAGACACAACGUCAACCAACAAACCAAAACGUUGGGAGAGGCGGUCACAGAGAGAGACGGCAUGGUGGCGAUCUGCAAGCAUAUGAUUUCUCAUUAGUAAAUAUCAUAUUGCAUUAUGAGAGAAAAAUGAAGAAUCAAAUAAGAACCAAAGCUGACCUUUUCAUAGUUAAUAUGGAUUCCAAUGUAGAACAGCCCACACAACCCUCCUGACGAUGGCAAGGGGCAAGCCAGUGGGAGACACGGCAGGGACCAGCAUGCCAAGUCAACGAGAGGAGGAGCAGAUAGAAAGAGACGACAGACAGCGACCUGUACUAGUUGAUAAACACUGCAAAUGUGUGUGCACCUGAUUAAAUGAGAUCCAUAAGCAUAGUUCAGAAUAACAAAAAUUUCGAAGGCAAAAGCCAUGUCCCAAGGUAAUAAUCAGAGGCAUCUAUGUUCAUGUCCAAAACUAAAAGCAAUGCAAGCUCCAUAGCGCAAUUUAGUUAGAUAUUUGCGCUGCAUGAUAAUUAGACAGCACUGUUACAAUGCCAAAGGGAGCUUGAAUUUUAAUGGUACUAUUAUACCGCAUAGAUAACAUAUCUUUAGUCUGCCAUGAUUAUCACAGAACACCAUAAAAGAUGAGUUUACAUGAGAAACUAACCCAUCAGCACAUGGGAUCUUACCUAAGAUGUCUUGUACAAUGAUAACAAGGCCAAUCUCAAAACUGUUGUGAUACAAAAAAACAGAAAUGACUGAAGUAUAAGCUUUAUAAUUGCACCGUAAUAGAGAAUUUUGUUGGCAGAUGAGAACAAUGAAAUAAGUUAACAAAAAGAAAAUGCAUCAUGGGUAAUUAAAAUGUCUGUCGGUGUCAAAACCGGCGGAUCUCGGGUAGGGGUUCCCAAGCAGUGCGUCUUAGGAUCAAUGGUAACAGGAGGUAAGGGACACGAUGUUUUACCCAGGUUCGGGCCCUCUUGAUGGAGGUAAAACCCUACGUCCUGCUUGAUUGAUAUUGAUGAUGUGGGUAUUACAAGAGUUGAUCUACCACGAGAUCAGAGAGGAUAAUCCCUAGAAGCUAGCCUAUGGUAUGAUUGAUGUUGUCUAUAUCUAUCGACUAGCCUGGCCCCGGUUUAUAUAAUGCACCAGAGGCCUAGGAUAACAAGAGUCCUAACCGAAUACGCCGGUGAGGGAGGAGUACUUGUCUUGAUCGCCAAGUCUUGUUGAUUCUUCUUUGUAUGCGGCAGCUGUCCGGACUGGCCCAUGAGUAUACGGCCAUGGGGGUCCUCGGCCCAAUCCAACUGAUCGGGAGACGACGCGUUGAGUACCCCCUAGUCCAGGACACCGUCAGUAGCCCCCUGAACCGGUCUUCAAGUUAGGGACGCUCCUCGAUUCUUCCGAACUGUUCUUCAUCUUCGGUUGCCGGUCUUGAAAACUGGUUCAACAAAUCUUCUCCGAUAUUGAGGAUCGCCGAAAUGCAUUCGACGAGUUUAUACGUCGGGUAUCCGAGGAGCCCCUUUAAGUUUCCGGCCUUUAUCAAUGCCUUGUUAUUUUUAUGCCACACCUCGGGUUUGAAGUUGUUCCCGGGCGGCAACGUCCUCUUGCGUCCGAGCUCCAACACUGGACUGCAUUCGAGGUAUCUUUUGCAGCCGAGCACCAAUGUCGGACUGCUGCCCAGCUCUAUCGCCGGACUAUGUAUCCGAGCUCCAACGCCGGACUGUAUCCGAGCUCCAACGCCGGACAAUGUAUCCGAGCUCCAACGCCGAACUUUAUCCGAGGUGUCGUAAAUCACCUUGGUUCAAAGAAGUUCGAAGGAGUUUAGCCGAGCUUAAUGCCGGAAAUGCCCUCUAUGGAGCCAGUCACUAGCGCCCGAGCUUUAUGCCGGACUGCUUCCGAGGUGGUGCACCACCCCGAAUGUGGGCCGAUUUUUGUCAAUGUUUUUGAUUGGUGCAAUUUAUUCUCUGCCGAGAUACAUAGCUAGUAGCCCUCAAGGUGGGUAUCGGUCUAAAACCCGAGAUGCACAUGAAGGAUGACAUAAGACCGCUGAUCCCCGUAGCCGCUGAGACUCAGGUUGAUUUGCAAAAUCGGUCUGAGGAUCAAGUCCUAGCUCGGCAGAAUACUUCGGGACACAAAAAGUGGCGUGCUCAGUCCUCGAGACUCAGGUUGGGUGCGGCCGACCAACCUGAGGAUCAAAAUCUCCUCAGAAACUGUAUUGCACUUAAAAUUUUCUGCAUAGAACAGGCAAUGCAGUAGCCCCCGAGACACUGGUCGGGUGGCAACACCAGAUCAGGGAUCGAUGUGCCCAUUUAAUAUUUGUAAAUAAUAAGUCCGAAGCCCAGUAGCCCCCGAGCCUUAAUGCGGGCACGGGAGGCCGAAUUAAGAAUCGAUAUCCAUAGUAAAAUCACAAAUUAUGUGUAAUGACUCUAUGUAUCCAAGUACUUUAUGUCAUUAAUGCUCGGAUCCGCAUUGUACAAAACUUUGUUGACCGACCAUCGACUUCCACCUCCUCGGCCAAUAGCCGAGGAGUGUUUGUCCUACUUUAUAAAGUCUUUAUGAGGGUAAAGAUUUACAACAAACAAGACAAUCUGGCCAUACGGUUUUAUAAACAAAGGUACGCGGAGAGAUAUGUUAUAUUACUGUUUAACAGAAGAAAUGUCUUCCAAAGAAAAUAGUCCCGCUAUCGGUUCCUUUUUUUGGGUUGUCAUGCUAAGCAUGAUCAUGAAACCUCAGCUCCAAUGUAAGAGCAAAAUAUCGAGGAUUUAGUUUGGGAGGCCAGUUAAUAGCCCCCGAUAGUGUUCGGCGAUAGUCGAGGUCAAGCCGUAAACACUUCGGCCAUUGUUAUGAAUGGCCCGUCGUUUAGCGCCGUCAUCGGAUCGCCGACCAGUUUACGCUUAUUGUGACAGUCAGUUUUCGGCUUUCUCCACUGAGGUGCUUAACCAUGUGAGCUGGAAGCACAAUCGCAGUGGUUCUCCCUUUGCACACCUAGCCGAACAAAGCGGAACAUAGGAGGCAAGCGCAGGAGCCGGGCAACCCAACUAUUGACCGAAGACACAAUUCGAAACUGAUGCAUAUAUAGCAAUAUCCGAGAAUGUUUUUGCCGAAUAUCUAAAGGUGUCCGACGUUGCACUGCGAAACUUGUGCUGAAAACACACAAAUAAUUUAGAAGUGCCAUCGGCUCGAAAAGCCAAAAAAACUUAUUCAAAAGGUUAAUGUCCGAACUAGAUCAAGUGUUCGGUGCCAAUCCAAAAAUUGAACUUUAGGAAAAAAAAGUGCUUCUGCCGUGCUUUAACAUGACACAUCCUAUCUCAAAACUUCAAGCGGGUCAGCCUACGGCUUCAACCUCCUAUCCCGAAGGCGGAGUACUUCUUACUAGGCCAGUUUAGCAAACUAAACUCUAGCGGCUUUGAGAGAGAAAUUAGGCUCCCCGCUAGUGACCGCACACUUGUGUCGAAAAAAGGAGUGAUAAAUAAUAAUAAAAAGUUUGCAACAACUAAGAAGAAAAACACUUAUCAUAAAACGGCUCAUAUAAAUUUAAGAGCCCCCAAGUGACUUGGGUAAAAGAAUGAUUGCAUGUACCAAAGUACUUAUAUCAUAUCUAUGUUCAACCGAACUUUAAACGCGUCUUAACCGACCGUUGGCUUCUCCCUCUUCGGUCAAGGACCAAAAAGUGUUAUGUACUCCAUCUGACGAGAAUAUCGACGGUGUUUUCAAUAACCAGGCAAUCAGGCCAUAAGGCUAUAACAGACAAAGCGCGCUCAGGGAACUUAUGCUAUAUUACUGCGAUGAGUAAGAAGCAUCUUCGAAGAAAAUAGUACCCCCAUCAAUACCUUUCUUCGGUGCUCAUUGUUAUUAUGAGACUUGUGCAAUAUAUUUUUUGUACUCAUGAGUUCCGUUGUGUGCCGACCAUGAUUGAAAACAAUAAGAGCGCUAGCUUUCGGCUUCACCCAGUCUGAGGUCCGGCUCGGUUGACCCAAUCGUGACAAUCGCAGAAGUGCUCCCUUUACUCCCUAGCCAAAAAAUCGGAAACAUAGGGGCAAGCACAGGAGCCAUGCAACCCAGCUUGCAAAUCGCUUAAGUCAAUAUGGUGCAUAUUGUGGCGUAAUACAUGAACAAGGAACGAAGCCGUACAAGUAUAAUCAUAUGCAAGAGGAAAAAGCUUCAUGAAGAAAGCCCCCAAGUAAACGGGGUAUUUGAAUUUGCGCGUCACAAACAAAGUUUGGACAAGGAAACUUUUACAAGCAACUUUUUUUCAAAAAAGUAUAAUGCUUGACUGAGCCGGACACAAGUUAAAAAUUUAAAACUUUGAGCAUGAAGACAACUUAGCUGGUUAAUGUGCUCGGUAUUGAUGACGCGGUCCGAGCUUGAUGCGGGACAAGGUUCCAUCCCCGAACCAGUCCCGAGGUGGCGAAGCAAAGAGCUCGGCACUCCGAAGUGGUGACAUAGCACGGUCAAUGCAGGACGGCAGGGUGAUGCCGAAGUCCCCGGCAUGGGGUAAUGAAGUGUUGACAAAGCCCCCCGUCCAGCCGAGGUGACGCCAAAGGAUAUAGUCCGGCUGGAUCAUUUUCCUGCGCACAAAACAAAUAAUGCAAACCGGAGAUAAUAGUAAUAAUAAUAAAAAUAAAAAAAAUCGUUGCAUAACAAAUAAUUUAUGCAAAGUGAGUAAUAAAAAAAAUAUGGCCUGGCGCCAAAGUCAAUGUCGAUGCAGGGCGGCGGCGUGAUGCGGUAAAGGUAUGGCAAGGCCUGAAUUCACAGGUCGGUUCGAGUUCCGGAUGCGGCGUUCGCCGGACUAUGUACGGAAACUGACCGAACCACCAUGCGACCGUCGUUAAUGCGGUCACCAUUUGAUAGACCUGCGUACAUAUGACAGACAAACCGGAGUAAUAAUUCAUUGGGAAAAAUGAACCCUAACAAGCAAAAAAUACUAGGAUUAAUAGCACCUGGCUUAUUUAUUAUAGCAAUCCAAAGAAAGGUGAUUCCCAAAAUUGAGACUCGAUCCGCACACCUAUCGCCUGAUGGGUGAUAAAGCAACGGCAUGAUGAUGCUGGCAAAGGUUGGCUCGGCGAGGUAAAGCCCUCGGUCCAGCUAACGUGAAGGAGCUGGUCGGUCAGCGACGCCGAAGUCUCCGGAGUAGGUCGAUGAAGAGAUGAUGAAGCCCCCGGUCCAGCGAUGCAAGUCGUGACGUGGUCGAUGCCGGCUUGAUGAAGUGACCAUGUGGCGAUGUAGGUGUGCCCGCUCCGUGUAAUCUAUAGGGCGGCGAUGUUGGUGACGAUUUAUCUUUCACGAUGCCGAACUAUUGUUCGGCCGGCCGAGAUGAUGAUACGAAGAAAUUAAGCUCGGCUCAACAAAGCGACGACGUGUCUAACGCAGGUCGGCCGCCGUGGAGUGAUGUUGUCGGGCUGGUUUGACACCGGCACGAUGGUGAAGUUCGUAUUGCAAGAAUACUUUUAAUACUAUUAAAAAUAAAACACAACACCCCAUACGAAAACUUCCUUCAAAAAAGAUGUCCGAGAUCCCGUUCAUAAAGAAGAUGAAUUCUGGUCGGAUCCGUUCUCGCGCAGAAAACAGAUCCAAAAGGUGAUGCACUAAUCGGAAUUGCUCAUCACAACAAAGUUCAAGUAAACUGCAAAUUUGCAGUAGAGCAAAACCCUGACAUUUCACUAUUUUGAUCACACUAUUGGGAUCACAAAUUUAGUGAAUUUAGUAACUGGAUAUUUAUCACCCCACUUUUCAGCAUAUAGUUUCAUGUUUAUUUUACUUCAGAGAGACCAACACACGAUGGGGAAAAGUAGGGACAGGGAGGAAGGUAGAAAGGCAGCAUAAACAUCUCAUCUUUCACGGCUGGUUAUGGGCCGAGACCAAAAGGCAGUUGUUUCUCAAUUUGACUAAAAAUGGUCUGCCACAACCAAAAACAAACAAAUUGGCCUGCUACAGAGACAUUAGUUAGUAAGCAAACAAUGUCAAUACUAUUAUUAGUCUGCAAUUACAUCAGUCUACAAAUUCACUUAAUAAAUAAUGCUUAUACCGUCAGCCAACCACAAAUGCAAGGAAUUCAAAUAAACAGUGAUAUGAGCUUGAUGAAAAACAGAUUUAUAACAACCAAACUAAUAAAUCAUGGCAGACAAAAAAUAAAACGGUGUUACUGGCUUAUAUAAAAUCAUGCCAAGACAUGUAACACUUCUCAUGUAAGCCACCACAUGAGUCGCUGGUACUAAUAUCAUGCCAACACAUGCCCGAAAGAGAAAUAUGGAAUGGCUAAACUCUCUUCAAAGAUGUCUCAUUAAGGUUUAUAUAACUGCAGCCGAUUUGAGAGAAAUCAAUAUAAAUCAACAGCUAGCAGCUAGCCAUACAUAGUAUUGUGCAGGAAGACAUUUCUUCUAAAAGAACACUGCAAAUAUUUGAUUGCUUGGGGAAUAACUUUAGGAGCACUGGGAUUACAUCCUAGCCAAAUUGAAUACAACUCUAUAUUGAAAAAAAAGCAUGUAUAUGUGGGGUGAUUAAACUUUAAUUGGAUAGGGUUGAUCAUAUUUGUGCCUUUCUGAAGAAAUAGAAACUAAGCCAUCAACACAAUCACGGGAUCAAAUAAUAAAUGACCUAAACCAAGAUUGAUAUGCAGAAAGACACAACCGAGUCGCAUAAUUGACUUGUUUCUAUUAUUAAUUGUUUUUUAUUGCAACACUAAAUAUGUGGUUGUAACUACAUAGUUAUAACCUAACUUACAUGACAAAAAUAGAACACGGAUCUAUGAUUCUCCAAGGAGUAAUUAGUUUCCCUAAAAAAAACAAUAAUUCAUAGUCCAAUAGUAGCUGAACUGAUAGGGAGCCAUUCUUUCCUAGCGAUAUAUGGAUCAAUCAAUAGCCCUGUUCAAGAAUUCAUCCGAUUAACCACUUAACUUGCCAAUUAACCCCUACUCGUAGGGUCACCGAGUAGCCGAUUAACUGAUUAAUCACCCGAGUAAUUGAUUAAAUGGCCGAUUAACUUGCCGAUUAGCCUAUUAAUCCCCUACUCGUCAGCCAACCGAGCAGCUACAAGUUAACGAUUUCCUCAACAAUGAUCAAUAGAGAGAGGGGUGUCAGGGACUCACUGUUUGAGGAUGUAAGCGGGUAAAAGGGGUGACCUUGCCUCAGCAGGGCUCAGUCGCACCCAGAAUAACAUUUUGUCAGUUUUAUUAGUAAUACUAAUAUUUGGUUAAUGGGGCACCAAAGGAAUCUCCUAUAUGAUUUAGUGAUUAAAGAAUAAUAUUAAACAAUGAAUCUCCCAUUGGUUCACAAAGUAUGCAAUUUUUCUCUCAACUGAAAUGACAACCACAUUUUGUCAGCGAUAUUUGGUUAAUGGAGCACCAACAAAUCUCCUAGAGUAUUUCAUUUGGAGGUUAAAGGGAAUAAGAAUAAAGGAUGUAAAAUAACCAGUGACACCUUAGCUCUCACUACACACUUGGCAAACAAAUACAUUAGGUGACUACUGAUUAUCUGUAGCUAAAUCUUAUCUGAAGUACAACCAAGAUGAACAGAAACAUUUCACCUCACUUUUGGUGGAAAAAUACUCUUCUCUGAUUGAUCAUUCAGUUACACAGUGAUCCGCUUAACACAUCGCAGGUUGAUCUGCAAUCACAUAAGCAAGCAUUUGCAUUAGAACAAAAGGAAGAAUGAAAUGUUUGAUCUUUCAUAUGGUACUAUUGAUCCUAGAGCAACGCUAAAUAGGAGAUUAGUAACACACAUCACUCUCCCGGCAAGAAGCAGCUCUCCCGGCAGUAACACGCAUCACUCUCUCGGCAGAAGGUGACUCUUCUUCAGAUUGUUGACCAUAUUCAUUAUUCACAAUAACGAAGUACAACUCCAAAUCAGAAAGGUCGUCGAUAAUGCUGAGCAUGGAAAGGUUUCUGUAGUUACCAUUAAUGUAAUCAAUGAGUACCAACUAUUGCUUGAUGCAUAUAUAAACAAUCAGAAGGUUGUCUACCUAGAUUUCUUCCUACCCAACUUUCCUUUAUCAGCAAGGAGGAACUGUUUUUUUCAUAUAUAAACAAUAAGCAGGUGACCUAAUGGACUAUGCAACCCAUAGAUUAAUUAUGCAAGAAGUUACCAUUCCUAUAAUUAGCAAGCAUCAAUCAUUGUUUGGUGCAUCUACAAACAAUGAGGAGGCGGUCUAAUUCUGGAGCACAUAGAUUAAUUAUCUGUGUAGUCAGACUUCCUCUGUUAGGAAGCAGCAACUACUACCCGCCGCACAUAUUUCUCCCAAAUCACUAACCUGAACAGGUAUUACAGUACACUGAAAAUUGGGCACACCCUACAGACAUGGAUAUGAACCAAAAUGCAUAUAUCUCUCCCAAAGCACUAAACAGGAAGCAAACCACCAGGGAAACCAUAAGUACAUAUGGCCAGCCAUAUCUUAUGAAGGUAUCCUAUGCUACAAAGACACAAUACCCAAAAAGACAUUUGGAUUGCAGUGCAGCCUCACAAUUGAAGCCGAAAACAUCAAAGAUUAAGCAUGUCAAGAGUGCACAUUUUUAUCGGAUAGAAUCUCACUUGAAGGCGUGACAACAUGUUUCCUUGCACAACAUAGGUCAAUCCACAACCAAAAUGAACCAAAUGUUCACAAUAUCCUUUCUUGUAUGCAUCAAGCAGAAUUCAAAAUCUCAUGGAGGUUCUGUACCAUUUGCCUUUGGCCACCACCUGGACAGUACACAACCAAAUUUAGCUGAAGUUUAUAAUAAACAUGCAUGCAACGAUAGCAGCCUAUAUUAAUUUUAUACCUGGCUUACAGGAAACCAGAAGCUAUGUACUGGCAAUUAACCAGAAAAGGAGGAGAAAUUCAGAAAAAUCUAGUAUGUAACCUAGUUUAACAAUGCUUAUAUCCCCAAUCCAAGCUCUACAUAUUUCAGCUCACUAAUGCUUACAAAAAAUAAAAAAUAGUACCCUCAUUUUGGAACUUGAAUCUGCAAACAUGGUGUCUAACUAAAAAUCAGAGUCAUGGUUAAGAUAAAGGAGCACCUCUGGAACGAGAGCGGUGGCUAAAAGCAUCAGACCACCAAAACAUCCCAUAGCACACAGUCCAACAGCGAACCAUCUCCUGAACCUAAUUAAGUAAUGUAUAUAUGAAUCUAAACUACAUGACAUAAGCUGAAGAACAACACGAGCAUGCAGAUCCAACUCUGUGAAUUUGCAAACAAAAGGCCCAAAAAAUUCACCUCCAGAUGAGGUCUCCGAGAAGCAUAAAGUCGCCAUCCUUGUCUCCGUUCCGCUCACCGCCACGAGACUCAUCUCCUCGUACCCACCCUGCAUCCAAGAGCCAAAUCGUCAGAAACCCACCAGAAGAACAACACAUAACAUGCUCGUCUCUGCUGCUAUUGAGUACAUGAACAGGAUAUGUUCUUGGCUGCAAACUAUUAACUUUUUAGGAAUUUUAAGCAACAUUAUAGAAGCUGAAAUACAACCAGAUCUAUUUUAACAAUAGGUUUAUGAGAUUAUGGUGUGCCUUUUCUUAUCUAUCUGUCACAAUAUAUUAUAUAAUGGGUACAUGCUAUCUGGAACAUGAAAGACAAGGGAAAAUUAAAAGGGUCAACUGUUAUACAAUACAUAUGUACCCAGAGCCAUUAACUUAAAAGGGUCAAUAUAUUUUCUACACUAUGCUUUGUGAAAUUAACUCUUUUAUGUACCUCCCUCACAAACAUUCACGGUUACCAAAUCUAGAUGAUUUUUAUUUGAACUUUUAGAACUGAAUACCAAGAGCAUACAUGCCUCUUACUUUGCAACCUUAGCCAAACAUAGUGGAGAGAAUACGAGGAGUGCUGUAUAGGAAAAAAAUUAAGUUAAUAGCUGUCCCUGCAGUUUCCAUCAGAUUAACAUUAAAACUCAUCAAAAAGUAAGGAAUAGCGAGCCAAAUGUGAAUUGUAUUACAACACAAGGUUUUAAAUUGUGCGGUCCGAUAAAAAUGAAGUUAAAUGAUGUGUGCCCUAUGGUAUGCAGACUGUUUCAUCCUUAGAAAUUGUAAUGCAAAAUCAGGCUGUCUGCUAGCAUAAAGGUGGCUUUUAAAUAUUAGAAUGCCACUUCAAAGUUGAAGUAAGUAUGAACCCACAGAAAAUCACCACUACCCAACCAUAAACAGAGAGGAAGUAAUAUGAGCUGAGAUCUUCGAUGGCAUAAAAAAAUUUAGAGCAUAUUUGACAUAUCAUUUUGAAGUUAAAAAUAGCAAAUAAGCUACAGCCAAGAAAGAACACAUUAAGUAGCUAGAGAGUAUACACUACUUUCUAAUAGGAAAGAAGGUAAUUUACCCGGCAAGGUAUUGUCACUGAUUCCAACAUGAAAGAACAAAGAAACCUGGGAUAAUCCCAACCACAUCUGUCCAUACAAAAAACACAAGUCAAUACACCAAAGGCAUGCCCAAUACAAAAGGAGCAACACGAUAGGCAUCAUAAAAAGUACCUGUGAAACGCUCAGGCGUGUUUGUAGGCCUUGGGAGCUGAUUAAUUGGAGUCAGGACAUAGGUGCAGAAAGGAAAUUCUGCUUCUAGACCCUCCCAUCACGCAACAGUUGUAUACCUAGUGAACUUAAUCAUGUAUUGACUCUCCACCAGCCCGAAGACAUACUUCUUGAGAAAGACCAGAAACUUGCGACAGAUCAUCAACCCACACUCUUGGGGGACACAUAUAAAUUGGUUAACAAAUUUCUCAGGCAUCUCUGCAUACAUAUGGUUACCCUGCGAGGAAAAGAGUAUGGUUCAACACAGGAGAAAUAACAGACCAUUAAAUAACAGGACAAGAAAGACAGGAAACCAGAUCAAAGAAUACAUGUACCUGCAUCUAGUAUAACCACAUCCAUCUCCUUGAUAGGUCCAUUUUCGGUUCCACCAUGGUGAUGCCACAGACGUGAUAUGCACACACAGGGUAUGCUAGAGCGAGUUACACGGACGCACUUCAGACAGUGCAUUGAAUGUUAUCUACAACAAAUAGAAAAUGCAAAAAAAUGCAAAGACUAAUCAGAGCAGGCCAUGGUCUAGCAAUCAUGAUAAGCACAUAACAUAUUGUACAGACCCAAAUAUAAUCAAAGGCAGCAUGCCAACACACACAUCAAAGAAAGACACACCACAUGUAAUCGCGACAAUAAAGGUAAAUAGUGAUCCUACCUCCUAAGUAGGAUCAAUUAGUUCAUCACAUCAUUAUACCAAGAGCACACACACACUGGCAAAUCAUCUAAAAGGCUGAUCCAACAAAAGAGGGUACACAGUGCAGAAGAACGAGGCCAGCAAAAGAGGGUCCUUGCACAAUAAAUAGCAAUAGAACCGACCAACAAUCCUGGAAAUAAGAGUAAGUACUAAAUUUGCAGGCAAUGAAAUAGUCACAUUUGUAACGAUUGUCCAUAGAUUUGUCUUAAUUGAUCAUAAUCCAUUGCACUCCUGACACUAAACAAAUUCGUAACCGCUCUUUUCCGAGAUAUGAUGUUGUGAAUAUAAUUAACCUUCAUAAGAAAGAAAUAAUUUCUAGCCUAAAAAUAGCUCACGGCCAACACUGUCCAUCACCACUGUUAACCUUCAAGAAUAACAGGACAAUAUAAUUAAUCCUUGAGGCAAAGAACGAAAUCAGAGACUAACCCAGACCAACAAUUAAUCUUAAUUAUACUAACCAGCCAUGCAAUCAAUCCUUAAGCUAAAGAACUAAAUCAGAGACCAACCCAGGCCAACAAUCAACCCUCAAGCCAAACACUCGAACCAAGAAAUUUGGGACACAUUUUAGCCUUACAUAAUUCAGCGUGCAGUGAAUCCUAAAGACAAAGAACCAAAUCAGAGACUAACCCAGUGCUCUUUUUCUAAUCAACCAUGUGACCUAUCCAUUCCUGUGAUUACAUUGCUAAGCAAGGACCAAAUUAAUCUAGCACUUGAGGACAAUACUCUAAUACAAACAACUGCACCCACAACAGGCAUAGACCACCCAUGUUCUUAACCAACCAUGCAACCUCACUGACCGCCAAGGCAAACAAUUAAGAAAGGACCAAUGAAAACAAAUCAACAAUGACACCAUCUAAGAAUCCAACAACAGAAGCCCACGAAUAACCUGUUCCCCACCUCUCUUUUGCAAGGCCUAAUCGAUUACAGACAAAUCCAGCCCCUGAAAAUAGUACAUUGAUUCCAAGAACGUCAGAACCACACCUACAGCAACACAGAUUGUCUUAUAUUUUCCCAACCAACUUGUCAGAUGUCCAACCCCGAAGAUAAACGGACAAGGAAGAGCUUGGGUUAACCAAUCCAUUCAGGCAGACAAUUUCCAAGAACAGAGCCCAUGCACAAUCCAUCUCAUCACCUUCACCUAACAAGCUCCAAUCAAGCACCUAAGAAUGGCUCCUAAACCCACUGAACAGCAACCACGAAAGGUACAAUCCGUUAAAUUAACCAGGCAUGUGAUUCAUGCAACUAAUCCUUAAGAAAAAGAACUAAAGCAGGUACUAACCCGAAUGGCAACAAAUCUGCGUCAUAUUCUAACCUAAUGUAAUCCAACAAUUAAUCAUCAAGAGAAACACCUAAAUCUGGGACUAACCCCGAAUGGCAACAAAUCUGCGUCAUAUUGUAACAUAAUGUAAUCCAACAAUUAAUCAUCAAGAGAAACACCUAAAUCUGGGACUAACCCAAACCAAUAGUCAGACCAGUGAAAUAUCUUAAACCAACAGAAUCCAACUACGACCCAAGCAGAUCCCCUAAUUUCACAAAAGGAAACAGACCAUAUCCAGGCUCGAAUAGCUAAUGCAUCCAAAAAAAUUGCCGCAUCCGACCAGCCAACACGUCCAAAAAACUAUUGGAGUCCCACAUAAGCACCAGACAAGAGUGGAAAGGAGGAGAAAAGGGGUUGACUUGCAGAACUAAUUCACCCCCUGUCGCUGCCAUCAUUGGUGAUGGCCGCUGCUGUCGUCCGAGGCUAGGGUUCGCUGCUGGACGCGUGCGUGCACCUGUGUGACCAAAAAGCAGCAGCAACAUGAGGGGAGGGGAGGGGCCAAAAACAACAACAUCAUGAGGGGAGGGGAGGGGCCAAUAGCACCUUGACCAGCAGCAGCAAUGCUAGGGUUUGGGGUGUCUCCGUCCACGGCUGUACCUGGGUCAGACCCCCACUCCAUGGCCGGCCUCGAGGACGGUGGUGGCUCAGGUCGACGACGGCGCGUUGAUGCCGUCGUGGAUCUGGGCGCUGCAUCACCACGUCCUCCUCGCGCUCCGGGAGCGGGCGGUGGUUCCCCUUCUCGCCCCUGCGCACGAGCGUGCGGUGUGGUGGCGGACGGCUGGGCGAGAAGACGACGGUGGCAUGGGGCUGGACCUGGACGGCGGUGGAGCUGGGAGGCGCGGGUGAGGUUCUAGGGCUUGGAGGGAGAGAGAGAGGCAAGGGGGCGGCGCGAGGGCGAGCGGAGGCGGCGGCGGCGCGAGGGCGAGCGGUGGCGGCGUGCGAGGCAUAGGAGAUCGAGAGAGAGAGAGAGGAGGAGGUGGGACGAGCGAAUGUGGAGAAGCGACGGCUAGGUCACGCCCAUGUGGCGAUUGGAUAUUUUUCCAACCAUGGGAAAUGACGAAAAUGCCCUCCGCAACCAUCUAGUUUUACACGCGGUGGCAUUGGAAUUUUAUCUAACGGCUCACGGUGAUCUGGUAAAUAUCUGCCGCCUCACGUGAACCGAACCCGAGAUCCGACGGCCGGAAACGCGUCAGGAGAUCAAUCGGACGGCCGGAAUCGCCUGAGCUCUGAGGAGCCUCCGGCAUCCACUCGUCUCUUAUUUCUGGAUGUGAAUCCCAUCAAAGUAAUACAAAUGCUAUGGUGUGCAUCCCCGAAGUUAUGAACACCCUUAGGUUCCUGGGUUUGCUAAGCAUUAACUGGUCAUUGAGCCGGUGAGGGGCUGUGAUUGAACUCCAUAGGUGCACAAUAGACGCCUAAACCAUUGAUCACAGUGUCUCCUUCGCCUGCUUUCUAGAAGUAGAGUAGUGAAGAACCGUUCCUUUCCUCCACGAGGUUCGCUGGAGGAACUUAGGCUUUCUGUUCUCUCGUCGACGCUGGUCCAACUCACCUCUGGUGCGUAACGAAUUGAUUGAACUGUCACUUUUUUUUGAACCCAAAGGCAAAAGAUUUGCCUCAUUCAUUAAUUAAGGGAAGAGACAAGGUUUAAGUCGGAGCCACAUGAGGCCCACUGAAUACAAAGUCAUUACUCUCGCGGCAUCAAAUUACUCGGGCGUUUCGCCCCCGCUAGCACGGAAAAAAAUUCUAUGAGACCAGGUCUCACAGUUUAGCAGGUGAGACCCAUCUUGAUGGAUGACACGUGGCAUUUGCAAAUCACAAAGCAUCUACCCCACCCCCCACCUGAAAUCAGGGAUGGAGAGAUUAGAUGCUUUGUGAUUUGUGAAUGCCACAUGUCAUUCAUUAGGGCGGGUCUCACCUGGUUUAUAUGAGACCUGGUCUCAUAUAAUUUUUUUUCCGCUAGCACCAGAGCCUAGCUUCCUCCUUCAAGUUUCGCAAGAUGAUUUGGGGGGCGUUGAUUUCUUCUGGAAGACCCUUGCAUUUCUCUCAUUCCAAAUGGUCCAGGUGGUGAGCAAGGUGAGGGUCGCCAUCGCCUUGCUGCGCCUGGCCAUAUGAGUCCACCAACUACUGAGAGAGUGAUGAGCCGCCCACUGGUUGGUGUUGAUAUCGCCAAUUUGCAUCCAAUCUCUAAUCAGCCUCCACAACCGCAUAGUGUACCGACAUCUGUCACUUUCAUUGAUGACCCAGGGGAUUAGAUACAGAGGGAACAGGAUCCAAUGCCACGAAGGGGCGCAUUCGCUCGCGGGGGCGUGGGCAUAUUUCAAACCGCACACUAGUUACAAGGGAGGAUUAUUCCUAAAUAAUAUAAUUAGUUUAAAUCGUAACACUCCCCCUAAUCCUCGCUUGUCCUCGAGACUGUUCAUCUUUGAAACAUUCUUCUCCAAAACCCUGUGGGAAAAAUUGAGAAAAUAAUAUACAAUAUGCCAUGAAAAACUCCUAAGACCCAGUGGGAAAAUAAGGAGAAAAUGAUGUAUAUCGUACAUGCUUGCAUUGAUAUUGCCUCGUUAAAAACCUUCUAUGAGAAACCAUUUGGAAAACCUCACAGAGGAAAAGAGCAAUACUAAAGAUCACAUGAUCUUGACAGGUUAUACCCUAGGAGAUUUCUCCUCCUGAAUUUUGCACGUCUCGAAGU
RNAcentral lists this long non-coding RNA (17081 nucleotides) under Triticum aestivum (bread wheat). RNAcentral's name for it is "long non-coding RNA (TAES_LNC003645)". The record is from RNAcentral. Lineage: Eukaryota; Viridiplantae; Streptophyta; Magnoliopsida; Poales; Poaceae.